CAGUAACCGCGGGAAUACGUAGGGUGCAAGCGUUAAUCGGAAUUACUGGGCGUAAAGCGUGCGCAGGCGGUUAUAUAAGACAGAUGUGAAAUCCCCGGGCUCAACCUGGGAACUGCAUUUGUGACUGUAUAGCUAGAGUACGGCAGAGGGGGAUGGAAUUCCGCGUGUAGCAGUGAAAUGCGUAGAUAUGCGGAGGAACACCGAUGGCGAAGGCAAUCCCCUGGGCCUGUACUGACGCUCAUGCACGAAAGCGUGGGGAGCAAACAGGAUUAGAUACCCCCGUAGUCCCUGUCUCUUAUAC
This 301-nucleotide ribosomal RNA is filed under the name uncultured bacterium. RNAcentral describes it as "partial 16S ribosomal RNA". It matches the Rfam family "Bacterial small subunit ribosomal RNA", at positions 509 to 807 of the family's 1533-position model. The record is from RNAcentral.